CCUACGGGUGGCAGCAGUCGAGAAUCAUUCACAAUGGGGGAAACCCUGUUGGUGCGACGCCGCGUGGGGGAAUGAAGGUCUUCGGAUUGUAAACCCCUGUCAUGUGGGAGCAAAUUAAAAAGAUAGUACCACAAGAGGAAGAGACGGCUAACUCUGUGCCAGCAGCCGCGGUAAUACAGAGGUCUCAAGCGUUGUUCGGAAUCACUGGGCGUAAAGCGUGCGUAGGCUGUUUCGUAAGUCGUGUGUGAAAGGCGGGGGCUCAACCCGCGGACGGCACAUGAUACUGCGAGACUAGAGUAAUGGAGGGGGAACCGGAAUUCUCGGUGUAGCAGUGAAAUGCGUAGAUAUCGAGAGGAACACUCGUGGCGAAGGCGGGUUCCUGGACAUUAACUGACGCUGAGGCACGAAGGCCAGGGGAGCGAAAGGGAUUAGAUACCCCUGUAGUC
This 446-nucleotide ribosomal RNA is filed under the name uncultured bacterium. Its description in RNAcentral is "partial 16S ribosomal RNA". It matches the Rfam family "Bacterial small subunit ribosomal RNA", at positions 338 to 795 of the family's 1533-position model. The record is from RNAcentral.